UACGGAGGGUGCAAGCGUUAUCCGGAUUCACUGGGUUUAAAGGGUGCGCAGGCGGAUAUGUAAGUCAGUGGUGAAAUCUCCAGGCUUAACCUGGAAAUUGCCGUUGAUACUAUAUAUCUUGAAUGCUGUGGAGGUAAGCGGAAUAUGUCAUGUAGCGGUGAAAUGCUUAGAGAUGACAUAGAACACCUAUUGCGAAGGCAGCUUACUACGCAGAUAUUGACGCUCAUGCACGAAAGCGUGGGGAUCAAACAGG
This 253-nucleotide ribosomal RNA is filed under the name uncultured bacterium. Its description in RNAcentral is "partial 16S ribosomal RNA". It matches the Rfam family "Bacterial small subunit ribosomal RNA", at positions 524 to 776 of the family's 1533-position model. The record is from RNAcentral.